RNAcentral lists this ribosomal RNA (301 nucleotides) under uncultured bacterium. Its description in RNAcentral is "partial 16S ribosomal RNA". It matches the Rfam family "Bacterial small subunit ribosomal RNA", at positions 509 to 807 of the family's 1533-position model. The record is from RNAcentral.
CAGUCGCCGCGGGAAUACAGAGGGUGCAAGCGUUAAUCGGAAUUACUGGGCGUAAAGCGCGCGUAGGUGGUUUGUUAAGUUGGAUGUGAAAGCCCCGGGCUCAACCUGGGAACUGCAUCCAAAACUGGCAAGCUAGAGUAUGGUAGAGGGUGGUGGAAUUUCCUGUGUAGCGGUGAAAUGCGUAGAUAUAGGAAGGAACACCAGUGGCGAAGGCGACCACCUGGACUGAUACUGACACUGAGGUGCGAAAGCGUGGGGAGCAAACAGGAUUAGAUACCCCAGUAGUCCCUGUCUCUUAUAC